UACGUAGGGGGCAAGCGUUGUCCGGAAUCAUUGGGCGUAAAGAGCGUGUAGGCGGCCCGAUAAGUCCGCCGUGAAAGUCCAGGGCUCAACCCUGGAAUGCCGGUGGAAACUGUCGGGCUCGAGUCCGGAAGAGGCGAGUGGAAUUCCUGGUGUAGCGGUGAAAUGCGCAGAUAUCAGGAGGAACACCAAUUGCGAAGGCAGCUCGCUGGGACGUAACUGACGCUGAGACGCGAAAGCGUGGGGAGCAAACAGG
RNAcentral lists this ribosomal RNA (253 nucleotides) under uncultured bacterium. RNAcentral describes it as "partial 16S ribosomal RNA". It matches the Rfam family "Bacterial small subunit ribosomal RNA", at positions 524 to 776 of the family's 1533-position model. The record is from RNAcentral.